Molecule: long non-coding RNA, 3027 nt
Organism: Musa acuminata AAA Group (dessert banana)
Lineage: Eukaryota; Viridiplantae; Streptophyta; Magnoliopsida; Zingiberales; Musaceae
Exons: 3
Source: RefSeq, a predicted model, not a curated record
CCUGAUCUUUCUCUCUCUCUCUCCGCCACCGACAUGCUUCCGCCCAAUACUCUCCGGUUUCUGCUGGCGUCGCGUCCAUCAUCUUCUUCCUCCGCCUCCACCUCUGCAUAUCUUUGUAUCGCCACGGAGGAUCUCAUUCCUUUUCGUAAUGAGCAUGAGUUUGUGGGAAGUUGUCGAAACCCCCCAUUUCAGGAUAUCAACCUCAGUUAAGCUUUCCUGACGCUGCCUCAUCUUUCUUUGGAUAAAGCCUCUGGUGCACUGCUGAAAUGUUGUAUCAGAUUCUUGAUCUAGGAUCUGCCAAUGGAACUAGAUUUUCUUGCAAUCACUCACCUUUACAUGAUACUUUACAUAGGAAACGAAAGUCAGUAAAUUCCAGACAGUAUUGUCUGCCUUUGUACCUCUGAUGUGUUGUGAGAAAAUUUCUGCAAAAUCCCCAGAUAGACAAUGUGUUAUACCAACAGGUUAUUAAACAUUAAGUCUCAUAAAAAAAACCAUGGUUGUUUCUUCAAGCAACAAAUACUUAUAUAACUUGUUAUUACUGAAUUCCCCUGAUGGUACGUGAACAUAUAAUGUUUAGCAUACUGUAACUAGAACAGAAUGCUGCAGAUUUGGAAACCCUUGUCCGCCAGAUGCAAGUAUCAUUCAUCAGCAUGAGUUACACCAUUUUUCUUACAGAAGGGCAGAAAUGAACAAAAACGCUUUAUACCUAGAGAUACAAAUCCUCCAUUUGUUGUCAGAUAUUGGAAUGGCUCUCCUCUCAACUCCAGAGGAGGGAUUGGUGACCAGGUGCAACGUGGUGCUUUGUAGUGUGCUUCUAAAUUGCUAACAUCUACUAGUUCCUGCAAUCCAGUUCCUCUACUUUCAGAAUGACAAACAUAGGUAAAGAUAGGUUGUUGUCGGCAUCAUCUUGCUAUGUCAGCAGCCUACCUGAAAGAAUGAUGUUGCCAGAAUUACAUCCGUAUCAUCUUUGAAGCGCAUGGGAUAUAUCACGGUUGUCUUCUCCAGCUGCAUUAUAAAGAUGAUGUUUUCGUUGUGACAACAGAGUGGCCUCGUGAAAAACACAGAAAAUGGAAGCCAAAGAAAUUGUUAACGGAAAUUUUGUAUGCGAAAUGGUCAUUCACUGAGUGGUUUCUCAUUUUCUGAAUCAUGACAUUGAUCUAUUGAUACCUUUUCAAUUGGCAUGCUUAAGUUUAUGUGUUACUGUGUAAAAAGUCGAAUCGUCUUGAAGUUUACGGAAAUUUCAUGCAAACAUGGUAAUGUUCUUGAAGUACCAUUUUGAUGACAAAGAAGGGCUCUUUCAGCUGAUGGACAAUCUUGAUUGGGUUGCACAUGCCAUUGCCCAUGUACCUGGGUUCAAGGUUCCACAACAUAUCCUUCAUUUGUGAACUCAGUAUGACUGCGUGUAAUGAGGAGAUCUCGCUGAUAGCCUUCAUCCGAUCUUCUGAAAUAGUCUGGAUGUCAGUUUCUAUCGGGAUGUCAGAAUUUGUAUAUUAAGAAAAGCUUUGAAAGGUGAAGCAGAUUGUUUCAUCUACAUUGAUCUAAAUCCUCACUGUCAAGGAUAGGACCGAGCAUUAAGAAUUCUCCAGCUGCUGUUGUUUUGUGUUUAUUGUUUAUACAGAGGACAGGAGAAUUCCAUACCUUUUCUCUGUGGAAGUGCCGCAAAGUCGAUUCUGAGAGUAAGCAUAUAACCUUGCUUCGAAGGUUCCACUACUUCUGCAGAAUCAAGAUAUACCCUUUUGACAUCUAGUAGGGCACAGUCAGGUAGACAAUCUGAAGAGAACUCUGGAGAAAGUGGUGGCAUCCAUGUGGACAAGUUAACAAUUUGUGGACUUGAUGCCGAUGCCUAGUCACAGCUAUUGACAGUGUCAAAACCAGGAUAAAAGAACGGCGUAUGCUUACUAUGCUAAGGCUACAAGAAUCAGAAUUCCAUUGCAGUGUUUGAUGUUGUGUGGGAUCAAGAAAACAUGAUCCCGCAAACCAAUUAUAUGCAGAGUGGCAAAAGCACCUGGAUAUUGUAUCGAACUGAGCCAUAUUCAUAUAGGUUAUGAUCGAAGUCUGUUAAGCUUUCACCACUAGCAAGAAAGAAGAUAAAAGAGGAUGUAAGUGACCAAAGCAGUUCGAAGCUGAACAUGCAUGUUUACUCGAUUAGAGUCUGCUUGAAUGAAGAGAAGCUCCAUGAAGGUGGGACUAGGUUUCAGAAAAGCCAUACCUCUGCAACUUGUUCAGGAUUUCCACCAGUGCAGGUGACACCCUGUUGAAGAAUGCCAUAUCUGUGGGUUGAAAGUCAUGAAGAGAGUAUAUGAUGGUAUAUAUGUGGAUGAAUGGUCCUUGUUGCUUUGCAUGCAAGCCUUAAUUUCAAGAACAAGCUGAUGAAAAGGCAGAGCACUCUACAAUGAUAUGCUCCAUCUACUAGUUUUUGGUACUGGGAAAAACGACCCUUCAACUACGAAAUCAGGUGGUGUGACUGCUGAUAGACUUCGAUUUAUGUUGCAGAUGUGGAGAUUUGGUCAACAAGAUUCUUAGGUCCACCCAACUCAACUUCAUUAGAAGACAGAGAGGGCAAGUUGAAGCUUAAAGCUCAAGUUAUCGUCUGCUGUGGUUGCUGCAAUAAUGGUGGGACCGAAUCGAAUGCUCAUUGUUGAGCUCAUCAUGUAAAAUUAUGAGAAGAGCAGGGUUUUCUCUUUCUUAUGCUUAUUUUUUCUUUCUUAUGCUAACCUCAAAUAUCUCUGGAAAGAGAGUAGAGUCGUGACAGAGAAGCUGGCGGCUACCUGUAGAUUUCAAGAGAAGCCUCGAGCAACAUGCUUACUCGAGUCCCUUAGAUCGAAUCAAAUGCACAGGUCCUCCUCUAUUUGUUCCGUCACAAGUUUGUCUAUUCGAAAACUUGUUCUUUUCAUCUACAUAAGAACCUUUCAGCUUUAAUGUAGUCAAAGAAUUAUCCUACUGUAAGCCUUGUAUGUUCUCUCUCUCUCUCUCUCUCUCAGAAUAUUCAUUGUAAAUUUAGAAUCUAUUACUGGCUCCAACUUGUCG